RNAcentral lists this ribosomal RNA (403 nucleotides) under uncultured bacterium. Its description in RNAcentral is "bacterial SSU rRNA". It matches the Rfam family "Bacterial small subunit ribosomal RNA", at positions 9 to 414 of the family's 1533-position model. The record is from RNAcentral.
GAGUUUGAUCUUGGCUCAGCCUGAACGCUGGCGGCGUGGCUAAGACAUGCAAGUCGAACGGGGCCGUAGCAAUACGGUCCAGUGGCGGACGGGUGAGUAAAGUAUCGCUAACGUACCCCUGGGUCUGGGAUAGCCGUGGGAAACCGCGGGUAAUACCAGAUGACGUGGCCUGGUGGCAUCACCGGGACCCCAAAGGUCGCAAGGCCGCCGAGGGCGCGGGCGAUAUCGUAUCAGCUUGUUGGCGGGUAACGCCCACCAAGGCGAUGACGCGUAGCUGGUCUGAGAGGACGGCCAGCCACAUCGGGACUGAGACACUGCCCCGGACUCCUACGGGGGGCUGCAGUAACGAAUCUUCCGCAAUGCACGCAAGUGUGACGGAGCGACGCCGCGUGUGGGACGAAGU